UGGGGAAUAUUGGACAAUGGGCGAAAGCCUGAUCCAGCCAUGCCGCGUGUGUGAAGAAGGCCUUUUGGUUGUAAAGCACUUUAAGCGAGGAGGAGGCUACCUGGAUUAAUACUCUGGGAUAGUGGACGUUACUCGCAGAAUAAGCACCGGCUAACUCUGUGCCAGCAGCCGCGGUAAUACAGAGGGUGCGAGCGUUAAUCGGAUUUACUGGGCGUAAAGCGUGCGUAGGCGGCUUCUUAAGUCGGAUGUGAAAUCCCUGAGCUUAACUUAGGAAUUGCAUUCGAUACUGGGAAGCUAGAGUAUGGGAGAGGAUGGUAGAAUUCCAGGUGUAGCGGUGAAAUGCGUAGAGAUCUGGAGGAAUACCGAUGGCGAAGGCAGCCAUCUGGCCUAAUACUGACGCUGAGGUACGAAAGCAUGGGGAGCAAACAGG
Molecule: ribosomal RNA, 430 nt
Filed under: uncultured Acinetobacter sp.
Lineage: Bacteria; Pseudomonadati; Pseudomonadota; Gammaproteobacteria; Moraxellales; Moraxellaceae
Description: bacterial SSU rRNA
Rfam family: Bacterial small subunit ribosomal RNA
Source: RNAcentral